Molecule: small nuclear RNA, 164 nt
Filed under: Castor canadensis (American beaver)
Lineage: Eukaryota; Metazoa; Chordata; Mammalia; Rodentia; Castoridae
Description: U1 spliceosomal RNA (ENSCCNG00000006514.1)
Rfam family: U1 spliceosomal RNA
About the family: U1 is a small nuclear RNA (snRNA) component of the spliceosome (involved in pre-mRNA splicing).
Source: Rfam by way of RNAcentral
AUAGUUAUCUGGCAGGGGAGAUAACAUGAUCACAAAGAUGGUUUUCCCAGGGCAGAGCUUAUCCAUUGCACUCCAGAUGUGCUGACCCCUGCGAUUUCCCCAAAUGUGGGAAACUUGACUACAUAAUUUGUGGUAGUGGGGGACUGUGUUCUUGCUCUCCCCUG